GACGAACGCUGGCGGCGUGCUUAACACAUGCAAGUCGAACGGAAAGGCCUGCAGCUUGCUGCGGGUACUCGAGUGGCGAACGGGUGAGUAACACGUGGGUGAUCUGCCUUGCACUUCGGGAUAAGCUUGGGAAACUGGGUCUAAUACCGGAUAGGACAGCUGUUUAGUGUCAGUUGUGGAAAGUUUUUUCGGUGCAAGAUGAGCUCGCGGCCUAUCAGCUUGUUGGUGGGGUAAUGGCCUACCAAGGCGUCGACGGGUAGCCGGCCUGAGAGGGUGUACGGCCACAUUGGGACUGAGAUACGGCCCAGACUCCUACGGGAGGCAGCAGUGGGGAAUAUUGCACAAUGGGCGGAAGCCUGAUGCAGCGACGCCGCGUGGGGGAUGAAGGCCUUCGGGUUGUAAACUCCUUUCGACAGGGACGAAGCUUUUGUGACGGUACCUGUACAAGAAGCACCGGCUAACUACGUG
This 468-nucleotide ribosomal RNA is filed under the name uncultured bacterium. RNAcentral describes it as "partial 16S ribosomal RNA". It matches the Rfam family "Bacterial small subunit ribosomal RNA", at positions 28 to 507 of the family's 1533-position model. The record is from RNAcentral.